UUCCAGGCUUUUAUUAUUAUUUUAUUUUUUGUGCAAUGCCAGAAGAUAUUUAGAUGAAUUUUUUUAUAUAACACAUUGUUACAGAGCAAGAGUAACGUUCAUGGCAAUUUACCCAUUUUUGAGAUAGGUAUGGCCACUGAAUUUAGAAGAUAUGAAAAUUUAUUUGACCCAGUAGGCAACAAUUAUUGCUUUAGCUUCAGAAUGUUUGUUUUUAUUACUAUUAACUGUCAUUAUCAUUAUUUUUACUACAGGAGUAUUAUGCAUACACACACCGUUUGCGAAAGAAGUGGCUUAAAAAAGUCAUUAGAAGGGAGGGCCUUCAGCGGCAAUUGCACGCCUUAGAGGAACCUGGAGACUUGGAUGGCCUGCCCGAGAAAGUCGCACACCGUCUGCCAACCAUAGAAGAGGAAACUCCAGAUGACAUCAGGUUGUGGUGGAUUGAGGAACCAAUCAGAAUUGAAGA
Molecule: long non-coding RNA, 463 nt
Organism: Gigantopelta aegis
Lineage: Eukaryota; Metazoa; Mollusca; Gastropoda; Neomphalida; Peltospiridae
Exons: 3
Source: RefSeq, a predicted model, not a curated record